RNAcentral lists this ribosomal RNA (253 nucleotides) under uncultured bacterium. RNAcentral describes it as "partial 16S ribosomal RNA". It matches the Rfam family "Bacterial small subunit ribosomal RNA", at positions 524 to 776 of the family's 1533-position model. The record is from RNAcentral.
UACGUAGGUGGCAAGCGUUGUCCGGAUUUACUGGGCGUAAAGGGAGCGUAGGUGGAUAUUUAAGUGGGAUGUGAAAUACUCGGGCUUAACCUGGGUGCUGCAUUCCAAACUAGAUAUCUAGAGUGCAGGAGAGGAAAGUAGAAUUCCUAGUGUAGCGGUGAAAUGCGUAGAGAUUAGGAAGAAUACCAGUGGCGAAGGCGACUUUCUGGACUGUAACUGACACUGAGGCUCGAAAGCGUGGGGAGCAAACAGG